This 305-nucleotide ribosomal RNA is filed under the name uncultured bacterium. RNAcentral describes it as "bacterial SSU rRNA". It matches the Rfam family "Bacterial small subunit ribosomal RNA", at positions 338 to 657 of the family's 1533-position model. The record is from RNAcentral.
CCUACGGGAGGCAGCAGUGGGGAAUAUUGGGCAAUGGGCGCAAGCCUGACCCAGCAACGCCGCGUGAAGGAAGAAGGCUUUCGGGUUGUAAACUUCUUUUAUGAGGGACGAAAGAAAUGACGGUACCUCAUGAAUAAGCCACGGCUAACUACGUGCCAGCAGCCGCGGUAAUACGUAGGUGGCAAGCGUUAUCCGGAUUUACUGGGUGUAAAGGGCGUGUAGGCGGGACUGCAAGUCAGAUGUGAAAAUUAUGGGCUCAACCCAUAACCUGCAUUUGAAACUGUAGUUCUUGAGUGAUGGAGAGG